Triticum aestivum (bread wheat) is the source of this 115-nucleotide non-coding RNA. The record is from Rfam. Lineage: Eukaryota; Viridiplantae; Streptophyta; Magnoliopsida; Poales; Poaceae.
CUUGUACUCCCUCUGUCUUAAAAUACUUGUCAUUGAAAUGGAUGUAUCUAGAUGUAUUUUAGUUCUAGACUCAUCCAUUUUGAUGACAAGUAAUUCUGGAUGGAGGGAGUACUUG